RNAcentral lists this ribosomal RNA (271 nucleotides) under uncultured bacterium. Its description in RNAcentral is "partial 16S ribosomal RNA". It matches the Rfam family "Bacterial small subunit ribosomal RNA", at positions 524 to 794 of the family's 1533-position model. The record is from RNAcentral.
UACGUAGGGUGCGAGCGUUAAUCGGAAUUACUGGGCGUAAAGCGUGCGCAGGCGGUUAUAUAAGACAGAUGUGAAAUCCCCGGGCUCAACCUGGGACCUGCAUUUGUGGCUGUAUAGCUAGAGUACGGCAGAGGGGGAUGGAAUUCCGCGUGUAGCAGUGAAAUGCGUAGAUAUGCGGAGGAACACCGAUGGCGAAGGCAAUCCCCUGGGCCUGUACUGACGCUCAUGCACGAAAGCGUGAGGAGCAAACAGGAUUAGAUACCCGUGUAGU